RNAcentral lists this ribosomal RNA (1242 nucleotides) under metagenome. RNAcentral's name for it is "bacterial LSU rRNA". It matches the Rfam family "Bacterial large subunit ribosomal RNA", at positions 1564 to 2816 of the family's 2925-position model. The record is from RNAcentral.
UGAAUACGAGACGCUACGGCGUCGAAGCAGUCUAUGUCAUACUUCCAAGAAAAGCUCGCUAUGUCAUAAACCAAGAAUGCCUGUACCAUAACCGACACAGGUGGGUAGGUAGAGUAUACUAAGGGGCGCGAGAUAACUCUCUCUAAGGAACUCGGCAAAAUGACUCCGUAACUUCGGGAGAAGGAGUGCCUUAUUUCUAAGGUUGCAAUAACAAGAUCCAAGCAACUGUUUAUCAAAAACACAGGUCUCCGCUAAGUCGUAAGACGAUGUAUGGGGGCUGACGCCUGCCCAGUGCCAGAAGGUUAAAGAAGUUGGUUAGCAUUCGCGAAGCUGAUAACUGAAGCCCUGGUGAACGGCGGCCGUAACAAUAACGGUCCUAAGGUAGCGAAAUUCCUUGUCGGGUAAGUUCCGACCCGCACGAAAGGCGUAAUGAUUUGGAUACUGUCUCGGAGAGGGACUCGGUGAAAUAGACUUGUCUGUGAAGAUGCGGACUACCUGCACCUGGACAGAAAGACCCUAUGAAGCUUUACUGUAACUUGACAUUGAAAUUGGACUUUAUUUGCGCAGUAUAGGUGGGAGGCGUUGAGCAGAUUCUUGCGGGAAUCUGGGAGCCAUCAGUGAGAUACCACUCUUGUAAUGUUAGAUUUCUAACUUUGGAUCCUGAUCGGGUCAAAGGACAGUGUCAGGCGGGCAGUUCGACUGGGGCGGUCGCCUCCCAAACGGUAACGGAGGCGUACAAAGGUUUCCUCUGAACGGGUAGAAAUCGUAUCUAGAGUGUAAAGGCAUAAGGAAGCUUGACUGUGAGACCUACAAGUCGAGCAGGGACGAAAGUCGGUCUUAGUGAUCUGACGGUGCUGAGUGGAAAGGCCGUCACUCAACGGAUAAAAGUUACUCUAGGAUAACAGGCUGAUCUCCCCCAAGAGUUCACAUCGACGGGGAGGUUUGGCACCUCGAUGUCGGCUCAUCGCAUCCUGGGGCGGUAGUACGUCCCAAGGGUUGGGCUGUUCGCCCAUGAAAGCGGUACGCGAGCUGGGUUCAGAACGUCGUGAGACAGUUCGGUCCAUAUCCGGUGUAGGCGUUAGAAUAUUGAGAGGAGCCUUCUUUAGUACGAGAGGACCGAGAAGGACAUACCUCUGGUGUACCAGUUAUCGUGCCAACGGUAAACGCUGGGUAGCUAUGUAUGGAGAGGAUAACCGCUGAAAGCAUCUAAGUGGGAAGCCCACCUCAAGAUAAGUAUUCUCA